UGCCAGCAGCCGCGGUAAUACGGAGGGUGCGAGCGUUAAUCGGAAUUACUGGGCGUAAAGCGUACGCAGGCGGUUUGUUAAGCGAGAUGUGAAAGCCCCGGGCUCAACCUGGGAACUGCAUUUCGAACUGGCAAACUAGAGUGUGAUAGAGGGUGGUAGAAUUUCAGGUGUAGCGGUGAAAUGCGUAGAGAUCUGAAGGAAUACCGAUGGCGAAGGCAGCCACCUGGGUCAACACUGACGCUCAUGUACGAAAGCGUGGGGAGCAAACAGGAUUAGAUACCCUGGUAGUCCACGCCGUAAACGAUGUCUACUAGAAGCUCGGAGCCUCGGCUCUGUUUUUCAAAGCUAACGCAUUAAGUAGACCGCCUGAGGAGUACGGCCGCAAGGUUAAAACUCAAAUGAAUUGACGGGGGCCCGCACAAGCGGUGGAGCAUGUGGUUUAAUUCGAUGCAACGCGAAGAACCUUACCUACACUUGACAUACAGAGAACUUACCAGAGAUGGUUUGGUGCCUUCGGGAACUCUGAUACAGGUGCUGCAUGGCUGUCGC
This 549-nucleotide ribosomal RNA is filed under the name Pseudoalteromonas espejiana. RNAcentral's name for it is "bacterial SSU rRNA". It matches the Rfam family "Bacterial small subunit ribosomal RNA", at positions 506 to 1055 of the family's 1533-position model. The record is from RNAcentral. Lineage: Bacteria; Pseudomonadati; Pseudomonadota; Gammaproteobacteria; Alteromonadales; Pseudoalteromonadaceae.